This 1458-nucleotide long non-coding RNA is filed under the name Pogona vitticeps (central bearded dragon). RNAcentral describes it as "lncRNA (ENSPVIG00000008269.1)". Lineage: Eukaryota; Metazoa; Chordata; Lepidosauria; Squamata; Agamidae. The record is from RNAcentral.
AGGUCCCCCCCCCACUGACACAGGCUUUCCCAGGGUGGAUUGGCCCUACCUCUCAACCACAUCAGCAUAGAACAUGAAUAAUGCAUAACCUAUUCAGCAUAAUAAGGGUGAAUGCCACACUGCUUUUAUUAGCCAAGCUGGCUAGUAAAUGCAUGUGAUUUUGCUUGCACACAUAUCAAAUACCAACAGGAUUUUGGCCACUGAUUUAUUUAAAGAUGACAACACCCUAUAACAAAUAGAUUUAAUGUGGAUGAAGAUCCCUGACCAACAAGACUAACCAUGCCCAGAACUGAAUCAGCUUGGCAAAGUCAUUAUGACACAUCUUCCAUUUUGACAUCACAGCCCUGCCUGCUUACCUGUCAGAAGGACAGAGCUACCAUGGCAACCCAGAGGACCAGUAUUCAUCUUGAUACUCUAGAUAAACAUGGGUAAAAAAGCUGAGAUGAGUGAUCUCUUUCUUUCAAAAAAUAACUGCAAGAGUAAUACCUUUCCUGGUUUUUAAAGAAGGAAAAGACAAAGGAAAAAAGGGAAGGAUAUCCACUCUCCAACAUCCCUGAAGAAGACAACCCACUCCCCAACAUAUGGCCUCCAAAAGAGUUUUGCCUCUUCAAGACUCUCAAGAAAGGACAAGCCAUGAACAGAGACAGAUAAACAGGAGGCCCUCCCUUUCCUCAGAGGACAGUGGAGAAAAGACAGAACUGAAUAAAACAAUGGAUAUCAUCUUCAGGAAUAUCAAGAACGAGGGUUGUUUUCAAAAGCCUGAUACAAGGGGGAAAGACAAUAAUUUUCCCUUUUGUCUGUACACAUUAACCUUCUGAAAGUGCUUUUCUAAACUGUGAAUUUAUUACUCCUUUAAAAGCUUUCUGUUUUCAUUCCAAGACUGCAAAAGGGCAGGGGCCCAGGUGGAAGACGGAGCACUAAAAAAGCAGAGCUAAAAUACAAUUUUCCCUGCAACUUUACCUGCAUACCAAAUUGUCAGAGGUUACCAUCCCCCAGACGGCAAAGAAGAUUUUCCUGCAGUUGAGAGAAAAGGCCGUUUUCUUCAUUCUAACACCCCCCGUUUUGCUCCCUAUAUAAAAAGCCCAGUGUUAACAUACAUGUUAUGACAACAAGCGGAGUUAUUAAUGUAACUUCUCCUUUGACCUUUAGAAUAAUGAGAAGGAAGAAGAUAAAAGGAAAUUCUCCAUUACUUUCUGUAAACUUAUUUACGGGUUAAUUGUCAGAUAAUUUUUAUGAGUACAUUUUGGUACCUCCACAAUGACUUAAAUAUACAAGUGUGGCAAAUGUAUGCCUCUGCAUGUACACUUGUUAAGAAGCUGUAAUUAGCCAUGUAUCACCUUAUAAUAUAUGAAAUUAAGCUGCAAAGAAAGCCUAUGGCAUUGAAAUUGGACUGUAACACUGAUUAGUGCUUGAAAUGUAGUUAACAGAGCAAAAUAAAAAGUGCAUUUUCACAAUUCA